This 507-nucleotide ribosomal RNA is filed under the name uncultured bacterium. RNAcentral's name for it is "partial 16S ribosomal RNA". It matches the Rfam family "Bacterial small subunit ribosomal RNA", at positions 29 to 523 of the family's 1533-position model. The record is from RNAcentral.
AGUGAACGCUGGCGGUAGGCCUAACACAUGCAAGUCGAACGGCAGCACAGGAGAGCUUGCUCUCUGGGUGGCGAGUGGCGGACGGGUGAGGAAUACAUCGGAAUCUACUCUGUCGUGGGGGAUAACGUAGGGGAAACUUACGCUAAUACCGCAUACGACCUACGGGUGAAAGCAGGGGACCUUCGGGCCUUGCGCGAUUGAAUGAGCCGAUGUCGGAUUAGCUAGUUGGUGGGGUAAAGGCCCACCAAGGCGACGAUCCGUAGCUGGUCUGAGAGGAUGAUCAGCCACACUGGAACUGAGACACGGUCCAGACUCCUACGGGAGGCAGCAGUGGGGAAUAUUGGACAAUGGGCGCAAGCCUGAUCCAGCCAUACCGCGUGGGUGAAGAAGGCCUUCGGGUUGUAAAGCCCUUUUGUUGGGAAAGAAAUCCAGCCGGCUAAUACCCGGUUGGGAUGACGGUACCCAAAGAAUAAGCACCGGCUAACUUCGUGCCAGCCGCCGCCGUAA